ACUGCUCAGUAACACGUAGCUAACCUAACUUAAGAUCGAGAAUAACUUCGGGAAACUGAGGAUAAUGCUCGAUAGAAGAUGAUUUCUGGAAUGAGUUAUCUUUGAAACGCAAGGUCUUAAGAUGGGGCUGCGGCUGAUUAGGUAGUUGGCGGGGUAAAUGCCCACCAAGCCGAUGAUCAGUAAGGGCCUUUAGCGAGGAGGCCCUGAGAAGGAAUCUGAGACACUAUUCCUAGCCCUACGGGGUGCAGCAGUUAAGAAUCUUUUGCAAUGCGCGCAAGCGUGACAAAGCGAGCCAGAGUGUUUUUCUAUAUGAAAAACUUUUACCUACUGUAAAAAGGUAGGAGAAUAAGGACCGGGCAAGACUGGUGCCAGCAGCCGCGGUAAUACGAU
RNAcentral lists this ribosomal RNA (390 nucleotides) under uncultured archaeon. RNAcentral describes it as "bacterial SSU rRNA". It matches the Rfam family "Archaeal small subunit ribosomal RNA", at positions 85 to 479 of the family's 1478-position model. The record is from RNAcentral.